CCCCUCACCUCCUCCGACGGCUUCAAAGGGUACGGAGACCUGAGGCAGAGUCGCUCGGACGCCUGAGCUGCUCACGGAGGCCGCGAGCCUGCUCGCACCUCUCUGCCCCGGGCCUCUAUAUAGGGCCUCAGAGGAAACCGAAUGGCCUCCGGGAGGAAACCUGGGUUCGCAGAGGGUCGGCGCACGGAUUUAUGUGCUCGCCAAAAACAAUAGAGGGCCGCCCGGCUCUUGCUGGGGACCUGGCGCGGUUCCCGUGGGAGGGGGCCGACCGCACUGCGCCGACCUCUGGUUUCCUCUCGGGCGGUACCCGGCCCGCCUGGACUGUGGUGUCCCGCGUCCCCACCGUGACACUCGGCCCCGACUCAGACAAAGGUGCGGGGAGUCCACUCCAUCGCGUGCCCAGGCCAAGAUCCAACCCCGAGACUCCGUCUCCCCUGGGCUAAUUCUCUGCAGUCACUGUAGCCUUUUACCUAGGCCCUGGACGGUCACUUUGCAAUUUUGUACCUGGGAUUCAAAGUGUCUCUCGACAGAAAACCGGAGCACGCGGGAACUGGUUUUUCAACCGCCUGGUACUACUGAGGAUCGAGCUACCCAAAGUUAGGAGAAAACAGUCUGUAGUCUGCUGGCGAGAGUGCCCACACUGUUCUACGCUGAUUCUUCAAUUAGUCCUGUUGGGUUGUUGAUACGUAUGAGUUGAAUUUGUAUUUGCCCUUCAAUAGUCAAAAUCCAAGGCGUGUUUGUAUCUAGCAAAAAAAAAAAAAAAAA
Molecule: long non-coding RNA, 765 nt
Filed under: Rattus norvegicus (Norway rat)
Lineage: Eukaryota; Metazoa; Chordata; Mammalia; Rodentia; Muridae
Description: long non-coding RNA NONRATT027757
Source: RNAcentral